Molecule: long non-coding RNA, 757 nt
Organism: Melospiza georgiana
Lineage: Eukaryota; Metazoa; Chordata; Aves; Passeriformes; Passerellidae
Exons: 3
Source: RefSeq, a predicted model, not a curated record
AGCUCUCCCCCUCCGCCCCCUCCCCUCGGGAGGCCCUCUCCGGCGGAGGCCGGGCCCGCGCCGGCGGUGGGUCACGCGCCUGCGAGCCGCGGAGCUCUGCUCUGCAGUGGGCCGAGGGGCGGGCUGCGGCUUUCCGUGGGGCUUCCCAAGGCCGCUGGCGCACAGGCCGGCCAUCAGCGCUUCCUCGCUGCUGGUUACUGCUCGUUUUCGUUUAGUGGGGACUGAGUCGCUCUUUAUACACGCCUCCGAAAUAGGUAGGAUACCUUUGGCCUGGGGAGUGCUGCAGAGGCCAGAGACCUUGUCCACCCAGGCUUUUGCUCUGCAGACCUUUUCCGUAAGCGACUGUUUACGUGGAAAUGCCACUGGAGAUUUUCUGUAAAGCUGGUAAAAUGAACUGUUACAGAUAUUUCUGCUGUGAUUGCGAACUGCACUUACUGAGUAGGUCAUGGGCACUGACUGGAGAGAUGAAACAACACGGAGAAAAGAGCUGUAGGCAGAGACUUUGUAGUCAAGAGGUGGUCCACUGGUAUUACACUGAGACCCCCUCAGCAACUGGCCAACAGACCCGGUUCAUCACUCCUGUGAGAAUUGCUAUUGAGGAGUAAAUUUGUGUUUGAGUGAUUAUGUAAUUUUUUAAUGUAUUAUUAUGUUGAGUCUUAGUCAUGUUAAUUGUUUUAAAUGAUAGUUUUGAUACUUUGAGGUAAGCUUUUUGUGGUUUUUUGUUUGAGUUUUUUGGUAACUAAAUAUUAUACAAGAU